Ruditapes philippinarum (Manila clam) is the source of this 2320-nucleotide long non-coding RNA. RefSeq lists it as uncharacterized. The record is from RefSeq and is a predicted model, not a curated record. The transcript is spliced from 3 exons. Lineage: Eukaryota; Metazoa; Mollusca; Bivalvia; Venerida; Veneridae.
UACGGUCAAGACGUAUAAUUGAAGUUCUUAAUUAAAGUAAAGCGUAUUAUAUGUUUCACAAGAUUUGAUUUAAUUUGUUUUUAUUUCGGACUUUAAAGUGAGGUUUAUUGUGGAUAUUAUUAUUAAGCAGUUAAAAAUAGUGUGAUAACAGGUAUGUUUACUUUAUUUGUGUAUGUUUGUAUUUUAAGUUAAUACCUAAAAAUGAUUUACCUGUUCUUAAAAAAAAAUCUUUUUAAGUCUGAAAACAACAGACGAUAUAUUUAUUUUAGUUACAUAUUAUAUAACAUAUUAUAUAAUGUCUAAAUAGCCAAUUUAAUCUGAACACCACAGUCAAAAUACGACAUUUGUUCAGGAUAAUGCUUAAGUUGUCUAUACAAAAUGUCUGAACACCACAGACAAGGCAAAAUACAAAUGUUCGUAAUUAUGCUGAUCCAAACACAAUGGAACAGCCUUAAUUGUCUGAACACCACAGACAAAAGAUACAUUUGUUCAUAAUUUUGCUUAUCCAAACACCAUGGAAAAGCUUAAAUUGUCUGAACACCACAGACAAAAGAUAAAUUUGUUCGUAAUUUUGCUUAUCCAAACACCAUGGAAAAGCUUAAAUUGUCUGAACACCAAAGACAAAAGAUACAUUUGUUCGUAAUUUUGCUUAUCCAUACAACAGGAAAAAGCUAAAGAUGUCUGAACACCACAGACAAAAGAUACAUUUGUUCGUAAUUAUGCUUAUCCAAACACCAUGGAAAAGCUUAAAUUGUCUGAACACCACUGACAAAAGAUACAUUUGUUCGUAAUAAUGCUUAUCCAAACACCAUUGAAAAGCUUAAAUUGUCUGAACCCCACAGACAAAAGAUACAUUUGUUCGUAAUUAUGCUUAUCCAAACAUGGAAAAGCUUAAAAUGUCUGAACACCACAUACAAAAUACAUGAACAUAUUUGUUGUAGUAGGGAGAGUCCAAGCAACAUCGCAUACAAAAAUUGAAAAUUAAUAAAUAAAAGAAUUAUAUAAAAAAAAAAAAAACGUCUGAACACCACAGGCAAAAUUUACGUUAGUUCACAAUAAUGCUUGCCAAACACCAUGGAUUAUAAUUAUUUUCUUUCGAAAUAUAUAUAUUAUUGUCCAUGCACUUCGGUCUUCGUUUGCAUACCACUGUCGAAUUAAUGUAUCUAUUUGACGGUGUUAUUUACGAUUGAUUGCGAUAAAAUUGUUAUCGUUUAUGUCUAUUUCUAACGCGAUUUUUUUAUUGAACGAAUAGGGCCCGUAAGUCUCGUUUACUUUCACUUUCGAUUUACCACUUCCGGGUACAUCGGCAGACUUAUUUACCGUUACGCAUAUAGGUAACCCGAAGAACUCGAGGGGUAUAGAAGUUAAAUUUGUUUCGGUCCUCUUCAGAUUUGAAGGAAUGGAUAGCACGGGUCAAAAAAUGCAGAUGUAUAGACAAGGAGGUAUAUGACAAGUAUAGAAUAUACAGUUUGUUCAAUAUGGACCAUUAAUCAACUGUUUGCACUGCCUAUGAUCCUGAAAUAUCUAUACAUCAAAGGUAAAAAGGGAAAAAGAUGAAGGAGGAUUUGUCCAUGAAGACCUUUAUUGCAACUACCAUCUUCCAGUUCCUUAAUUUGAGAAUGAUAUCAGAGAACACACAGUUACAGUGAAAUAUUAGUUUAAUAUAAGCCACUGAGAGUAGUCAAAUGUACUUUCCUGAAGAAGAUGAAUGACAUCCAGCACAAAAAUCUUAAUGUAUAAAGAGUAUGAUUUUAUGUAUUUGACACUAUGAACAUGUUAAUGUCACAAUGAUAGAAACAGAGUAAAAUAUCCACAUUUCAUUGCAGUUUUAAGUAUUAAAACUAGAUACUCUAUAUAUACCAAAGCUGAUAACACACCAGAGAUAAGGUUUUUCAUGGAAUCACAGUAUAGUCAUAUGACAUUAUGGUCAUUAAAUGACUAUGAAGUAAAGAUUAGCAAAAAUAUUAUAUAUCAUCUACUACUAAUAUUGUGAGGUAAUCAUUGAUAAGCUCACAAAUUUGCAUUCAAAUCUUUGAUAUCAAGCUGAACAUUUUUCAAUUAGAAUAUGAUUUAUAACUCUAAUGACUAUGAUAAUUUGUUCAUGUUAAUUUUCAAAGUCUUUACAUUUGUAAAAGGAAAUAUUCUUAUUCUUGUAUCAGUAGACAUUCACAGUGUAAAGUUACAUUGUCCAAAUAACUAAUAAUAAAUCCAAGUGCUUUCCUGAAGUUUUUCUUCCACUGGAAAAUCAGUGUGAUAUAUAUGCUAAGCAGUGCACUAUAAAUUGUGUAAAAAUAAAAGUUUAUUAAACUUAUGAACUGUU